AACUNUCAGCAACGGAUCUCUUGGCUCUCGCAUCGAUGAAGAACGCAGCGAAAUGCGAUAANUAAUGUGAAUUGCAGAAUUCAGUGAAUCAUCGAAUCUUUGAACGCACCUUGCGCCCCUCGGCCGUUCCGAGGGGAAUGCCUGUUUGAGUAUCAUG
RNAcentral lists this ribosomal RNA (157 nucleotides) under Thelephora regularis. RNAcentral's name for it is "5.8S ribosomal RNA". It matches the Rfam family "5.8S ribosomal RNA". Rfam says of the family: 5.8S ribosomal RNA (5.8S rRNA) is a component of the large subunit of the eukaryotic ribosome. It is transcribed by RNA polymerase I as part of the 45S precursor that also contains 18S and 28S rRNA. Lineage: Eukaryota; Fungi; Basidiomycota; Agaricomycetes; Thelephorales; Thelephoraceae. The record is from RNAcentral.